GUAGUCCAUGCCGUAAACGUUGGGCACUAGGUGUGGGGGACAUUCCACGUUUUCCGCGCCGUAGCUAACGCAUUAAGUGCCCCGCCUGGGGAGUACGGCCGCAAGGCUAAAACUCAAAGGAAUUGACGGGGGCCCGCACAAGCGGCGGAGCAUGCUGAUUAAUUCGAUGCAACGCGAAGAACCUUACCAAGGCUUGACAUGCACCGGACGGUCGCAGAGAUGUGGCUUUCUUCGGACUGGUGCACAGGUGGUGCAUGGUUGUCGUCAGCUCGUGUCGUGAGAUGUUGGGUUAAGUCCCGCAACGAGCGCAACCCUCGUUCUAUGUUGCCAGCACGUCAUGGUGGGGACUC
Molecule: ribosomal RNA, 350 nt
Filed under: uncultured Brachybacterium sp.
Lineage: Bacteria; Bacillati; Actinomycetota; Actinomycetes; Micrococcales; Dermabacteraceae
Description: bacterial SSU rRNA
Rfam family: Bacterial small subunit ribosomal RNA
Source: RNAcentral